Molecule: transfer RNA, 82 nt
Filed under: Trachelomonas grandis
Lineage: Eukaryota; Euglenozoa; Euglenophyceae; Euglenales; Euglenaceae
Description: tRNA-Leu
Rfam family: tRNA
About the family: Transfer RNA (tRNA) molecules are approximately 80 nucleotides in length.
Source: RNAcentral
GCAGAUGUGGUGAAAUUGGUAGACACGCAGGAUUUAGGUUUCUGUAUUUAAUAGUGUGAGAGUUCGAGUCUCUCCAUCUGUA